This 389-nucleotide RNase P RNA is filed under the name Sandaracinaceae bacterium. Its description in RNAcentral is "RNase P RNA component class A". It matches the Rfam family "Bacterial RNase P class A". From Rfam's summary of the family: Ribonuclease P (RNase P) is a ubiquitous endoribonuclease, found in archaea, bacteria and eukarya as well as chloroplasts and mitochondria. Its best characterised activity is the generation of mature 5'-ends of tRNAs by cleaving the 5'-leader elements of precursor-tRNAs. The record is from RNAcentral. Lineage: Bacteria; Pseudomonadati; Myxococcota; Polyangiales; Sandaracinaceae.
GGAGCGGCCCGGGUGAUCGCCGGCGCGGCGUGCUCGCACGCGGCGCGGGAGGAAAGUCCGAGCUCCACAGGGCAGGAUGCCAGCUAACGGCUGGUGGGGGCGACCCCCAGGAAAGUGCCACAGAGAGCAGACCGCCGCGCCGCCCCUCGGGGCCGCGCGGUAAGGGUGAAAGGGUGAGGUAAGAGCUCACCGGGCCGGCGGUGACGUCGGUCGCACGGCAAACCCCAUCCGGAGCAAGACCGAAUAGGGAAGCGCUACCAGGGCGGCCCGCCCGAGCUUCCGGGUUGUGUCGCUCGAGGCCCGUGGCAACGCGGGCCCUAGAUGAAUGAUCGCCACCCGCCGACGGCGACGAGAGCGGGAACAGAACUCGGCUUAUGGGCCCUCCGACC